UACGUAGGGUGCAAGCGUUAAUCGGAAUUACUGGGCGUAAAGCGUGCGCAGGCGGUUUUGUAAGACAGAGGUGAAAUCCCCGGGCUCAACCUGGGAACUGCCUUUGUGACUGCAAGGCUUGAGUGCGGCAGAGGGGGAUGGAAUUCCGCGUGUAGCAGUGAAAUGCGCAGAUAUCAGGAGGAACACCGAUGGCGAAGGCAGUGUUCUGGGCCAGUACUGACGCUGAGGAGCGAAAGCGUGGGGAGCAAACAGG
Molecule: ribosomal RNA, 253 nt
Filed under: uncultured bacterium
Lineage: Bacteria
Description: partial 16S ribosomal RNA
Rfam family: Bacterial small subunit ribosomal RNA
Source: RNAcentral